CCCUCCCCCCCCCUCUUUAUCCGGCGGACACCGAGCCCACGACGAGUCCCGCUGGGCGCCUAGAGCGUCGCCGGAAGUGCCGAGCGGCGGGGACUAAGGUCGGGCGGGAGCACUUCCUGCUCGGGACGCGACUCGGGGUGUGUGUUAUGUGCACAACGUCGGGGCUUGAGAAGACCUAGUGAAUCGGCGUGUGUUGCUCAGGGUAAACGGAGGACUGCGUAUCCUAGCCUGAGUUCCUUGACAUUCAUCCUUUUCUACCUCUAGGCCCAGAGUGGCCUCAAGCUCCCAGAAAGCAAGGACAAGUCUUCUUUUCCUCGAGUCCUAUCUGCAUGAC
Molecule: long non-coding RNA, 334 nt
Filed under: Phascolarctos cinereus (koala)
Lineage: Eukaryota; Metazoa; Chordata; Mammalia; Diprotodontia; Phascolarctidae
Description: lncRNA (ENSPCIG00000035456.1)
Source: RNAcentral